Molecule: unclassified non-coding RNA, 298 nt
Filed under: plant metagenome
Description: partial contains 5.8S ribosomal RNA, internal transcribed spacer 2, and large subunit ribosomal RNA
Rfam family: 5.8S ribosomal RNA (bases 1-105)
Source: RNAcentral
GAAAUGCGAUAAGUAAUGUGAAUUGCAGAAUUCAGUGAAUCAUCGAAUCUUUGAACGCACAUUGCGCCCCCUGGUAUUCCGGGGGGCAUGCCUGUUCGAGCGUCAUUUCACCACUCCAGCCUCGCUUGGUAUUGGGCAACGCGGUCCGCCGCGUGCCUCAAAUCGACCGGCUGGGUCUUCUGUCCCCUAAGCGUUGUGGAAACUAUUCGCUAAAGGGUGUUCGGGAGGCUACGCCGUAAAACAACCCCAUUUCUAAGGUUGACCUCGGAUCAGGUAGGGAUACCCGCUGAACUUAAGC